This is a long non-coding RNA of Panicum hallii, 2743 nucleotides long. RefSeq lists it as uncharacterized. The record is from RefSeq and is a predicted model, not a curated record. NCBI's taxonomy places the organism in Eukaryota, Viridiplantae, Streptophyta, Magnoliopsida, Poales, Poaceae. The transcript has 5 exons.
CCACGGGCGGACGCGGCCGAGCAGCAGGUAGAUCCAGUACAGCGCGGCGGAGAGGGAGGACACGAGGGGCGGCACGGGAUGCCGGUGGAACACCUGCCGCAGCCGCCGCCGCACGCCCGUGACCGGAGCACCUGCCGCCGCCGCCGCCACCUCCUCUACGCCCGCGUCCGGAGCACCUCCCACAACUCCAGCGCCUCCUCAGCGGACCGGCGCCUCCCCGCAGACCGAGGCAUCCCACAACUCUGGCGCCUCCGCCGCGGACCGGGACUCCACCGCGGACCGCCGCUGGCGAACGCGCGUGGGCUCCCCGUCGCGCCGCCUCCCCCAAUGUCGGUCUCCGCGGAGUGCGCCGAGCAAGAUCCCACGGACGGUGCAAGCCCGCUGCGCCGCCGCCUCCACGCCCGGAGCGCCUCCCCCGCGGAUCGCCGCCUCCCCCAUCUCUGGCGCGCGAGUCGCUGGCACGCACGCUCAGCACCCACCUCCUCCGCCGCACCGCCGAGGCGCGAGCUGCAGGCGGAUCGAGCUGGCGGAGUCCAUCCGCUCACCGGUCGUUUUGGCGGGCCACCAACCCAGCACGGCCGCUGCACUCCGGGGACGCUCGAGGUCGGGCCCCGCGGUCUCUUCGCUCCCAUGCCGCCACCGUCGCAAGCGCCAUGGCGGAUCUCGCUGCAGUCCUCCAUGAGUUUGCCUCCUAUCGCACCUUCCUCUCCCCAUCCGCUGAAAAUGAUCGAUUGGCAGUGCCGGCUGCGGCAGGCGUCGGGCGCGUGCGCCGUCCUCGCCCACGAGCUCCUCCGCUCGCUGCAUCAGGCGCUCCGUUUCCAACCGGUUUCUCUCUCGUACUGUAGUGGGGUGGCUCGUAAUUGCAUCCUUCUACUGUUUAUGCGCAAAGUUGAGGUAUUCUGACUUCAAGAUAUAUGCCACCAAAUGACACCCUGUUCUGUUUGGGGUCCAAAUAUGCCAGACAGAGGUGGUGCUGAUAUUCCAAACUCAAAUGUAUGGUGGCCUUGGCAUGAGUUCUUCUAAUGAUUAAGCUCAUAUUGGCUCAAGCAUAGGAAUUUGUUGAUUUAAUUAAGCCUACCACUUGGUACUCUUGACUACUUUUUGAAUGGCAAAAUUCAGUGCCUUCAGAUAUACCACAAAGAGUGCAGCAACAGCAAGCCAACAUGUAUCUUAUUGGGUGUUCGAGCUGGAUUGGCCGUUGUUCUCUCUUAUUGGUUAGCCAACCACGUACAAAUUCCUCUCACAGUGAAUGCAAUGUUUCCCAAGCUGAGUUGUGAAAGUGCUUACUCUCUGAUGGCGCUUCUUGGUGCAAAGUGCAAACAUAAUGACACACAGCUUUACAUUCACUUGGACGCAAGCCUGGCUGGGACCCCACGGUGCAUCGCAACAGCAACGAGAACUCCCUUGGAUCCUACUUCUGCAACUCAAUUUGAGGACGAUAAAGCAAUCAUGUGAGGACCUAAUCGGACCUAAUCCUUCUUCAUCUUGAAAAAGUUCUUAAUGCCAAUGUUCGUGCUUACCUGAUCUGUUUAGACCAUUUGAUUGCUAUGUGAAUAACUCUAUAUCUUAGCAACAAUAGUGGAGUGCAGACUAUCCCAAUGCAAAACACAAAUCGAUUAAAUAUAUAUGAGGCAGUGUAUCUAUGUUGUUAAGUGAAUUUUUGGAUCUAUUAUUUUUUCUAAAAAGAGAAAAUAGACAUCAGUUACAAUAAUAAACCAAUUACAUGAUCCUACCAUUCAAUCAAGGUUUUCAUGGCUUAUAAUGUCAGUUAGGACUGGAAUUAGUAAUAUCUUACCUUGUACAAAGUAAUUUUAUUUCUAUUUCAUAGGGUGAACAUGCUUUAGAUUCUUCUGGAACUGCAACUAUUAAGUAUUCCCUGCUUAAACCAUUUUUCUAGAGGAAAAUAAAGUUGCCACGCUUUCCUGUGCAAAGAUAUCAUUUAUUGCUAUUCUCUCUCUCUCUCUCUCUCUCUCUCUCUCUCUCUCUCUGAUCCUGCUUAUAAUGUAUGAGAUAUCAUUGCAGAGAUAUGUAUGUCUGAUUAUUUAGAAGCGUCAAGUUCAGAAUGGAAGCUUGCUAUUGCUUUUUCAUCUGGUAUCCUUGCAGUAAUAAACUCUUUAAGCUAAAAGGCUCCUGCAAUGCAGCAUACAGAUAAUAUAUAUUGUUAAUGCAGUGUACUAUGCUUGGUCUCAUGGAAGUAAAAUGUGUCAUUAAUUUUCAUUUUCUCAUACAGUUCAGAUAGGAUCUAACUGGUUGGGAGAAGGCAACCGUGUGGAUGUUGAUUCUGUUUUAAGCUACCUUUUUUUGUUGAUGUUUUGGUCAAGUUACAUGGUCAUGCGAUGCCAUUUUCAUCUUGCUUUGCAGGUGCUCUCUAGUUUGUAUCUGGGUUCACAACAAAAUACUCCCUCCGUCCUAAAAAAAAUAAAUCAUUCUAGGAUUCAAAAUUUAUCAAAAAACAAGUCAUCUUACCCUAUUUAGAAAGUGCAUGUGCAUGCAAGAAUCAAUUGGUGCUAAAUAUGGAUAAUAAAUAGGGGCAAAUAUCAUCAUUUUACCUUCUUAUUAAUUUAUCCUAGAAUUUUAAGAAUAACUUGUUUUUUAUUACGGAGGGAGUAAGUUUCUUAAUCAAACGUUAACAUUUUUUCUCCUGAUUUUACUUGUGUUGUCACACUGAAUAUAGUUCAUCCACAUGCACUGUAACAUUGAAUUAUAUGAAUUCAAUUGUUCAAUAAUUUUGUAUGUGUCUCAA